UCGGGCCUCUCGCGUCAAGAUUAGCCCAGGUGGGAUUAGCUAGUUGGUGAGGUAAAGGCUCACCAAGGCGACGAUCCGUAGCUGGUCUGAGAGGAUGAUCAGCCACAUUGGAACUGAGACACGGUCCAGACUCCUACGGGAGGCAGCAGUGGGGAAUAUUGCACAAUGGGCGCAAGCCUGAUGCAGCCAUGCCGCGUGUGUGAAGAAGGCCUUCGGGUUGUAAAGCACUUUCAGCAGUGAGGAAGGCGGGUACGUUAAUAGCGUUUUCGUUUGACGUUAGUUGCAGAAGAAGCACCGGCUAACUCCGUGCCAGCAGCCGCGGUAAUACGGAGGGUGCGAGCGUUAAUCGGAAUUACUGGGCGUAAAGCGCAUGCAGGUGGUUUGGUAAGUCAGAUGUGAAAGCCCCGGGCUCAACCUCGGAACAGCAUUUGAAACUGUCAGACUAGAGUACUGUAGAGGGGGGUAGAAUUUCAGGUGUAGCGGUGAAAUGCGUAGAGAUAUGAAGGAACACCGGUGGUGAAGGCGGCCCC
RNAcentral lists this ribosomal RNA (530 nucleotides) under bacterium T457. RNAcentral's name for it is "bacterial SSU rRNA". It matches the Rfam family "Bacterial small subunit ribosomal RNA", at positions 202 to 728 of the family's 1533-position model. The record is from RNAcentral.